UCUAUUACUGGGGAGUGAGAAUGAGUUUUGCUGAUGAAAUAUUUGUUAAAAGACAGCAACUGAAGCACUUCUCGACUGUUUAACUCAUACUGAUGGCACAAAGGUUUUAACAAGCAACUUGACUUGUGGGGACAAAGUC
Molecule: long non-coding RNA, 139 nt
Organism: Xenia sp. Carnegie-2017
Lineage: Eukaryota; Metazoa; Cnidaria; Anthozoa; Malacalcyonacea; Xeniidae
Exons: 2
Source: RefSeq, a predicted model, not a curated record